AUGGCCCCAUGAAGCUUGAUAUGGGGUCUAGCCUGCCCACUGAGAAUUAAAGGGCUGCAGUAUUUUGACUGUACAAAGGUAGCGCAAUCAUUAGUCUUUUAAUUGUAGACUGGUAUGAAAGGCCAAACAAAUAAGUAUUGUUUUAGGUUUAAAGCAUUGAAUUUAAUUUUUCUGUUAAAAAGCAGAAAUAAGCGUAAAAGACAAGAAGACCCUUUUAAAGUUUAUUAAAUAGGUUUAUUUGUUUUUAAUAAAAAUAUUGAAUAAUUAUUUAUUUGAUUUAGUUGGGGCGACAGGCAUAACUGACAAUGUUAAUCAUAAAUAAGUAUAUUUAGAUGGGGGUGUGAGCUUUGUGAGGAGGCUUAUUAGAAUAAGUUACUAAAGGGAUAACAGCGUUAUGUAUUCUGAGAGUUCUUAUUGACGAAUAUGUUUGCGA
Molecule: ribosomal RNA, 433 nt
Filed under: Cylindroiulus apenninorum
Lineage: Eukaryota; Metazoa; Arthropoda; Diplopoda; Julida; Julidae
Description: partial 16S ribosomal RNA
Rfam family: Bacterial large subunit ribosomal RNA
Source: RNAcentral